This 255-nucleotide ribosomal RNA is filed under the name uncultured bacterium. RNAcentral describes it as "partial 16S ribosomal RNA". It matches the Rfam family "Bacterial small subunit ribosomal RNA", at positions 129 to 386 of the family's 1533-position model. The record is from RNAcentral.
CCUGGUAGUGGGGGAUAACGUUCGGAAACGGACGCUAAUACCGCAUACGUCCUACGGGAGAAAGCAGGGGACCUUCGGGCCUUGCGCUAUCAGAUGAGCCUAGGUCGGAUUAGCUAGUUGGUGAGGUAAUGGCUCACCAAGGCUACGAUCCGUAACUGGUCUGAGAGGAUGAUCAGUCACACUGGAGCUGAGACACGGUCCACACUCCUGCGGGAGGCAGCAGUGGGGAAUAGUGGACAAUGGGCGAAAGCCUGA